Molecule: ribosomal RNA, 408 nt
Filed under: Triticum aestivum (bread wheat)
Lineage: Eukaryota; Viridiplantae; Streptophyta; Magnoliopsida; Poales; Poaceae
Description: partial small subunit ribosomal RNA
Source: RNAcentral
AUGAUGGAAGGGAAGCACCAGCAGAUUGAGAGCCGCAAGAGGAAGUAUGGACAAGGAAAGUACAAUUCUGGAGCUCAACAGAAGCCUCGUUUAACCCCGAACUCGGGAGGAUAUACCCAUAACCAUGGAGGCCACACUCACAACGGAGGAAGUUCGCAUAACCAUAAUGGCCCCAAGAAUGGAAACGGGAAUGGAGCAAGCAACAAUCAGAACCGCUCCACUCCAGCCACACCCGCCAAGAGGGACCUAAGUCACAUUACCUGUUUCAAGUGCGGGAAGACUGGACACUAUGCCACUGAGUGCCCUGAAGCGAAGAAUGGGAAUGGCAAUGGAAGCUCUGGGAAGAAGCCCAGCCCUUUCAACAGGGGACAAGUGAACCACGUGAACGUGGAGGAAGUUGAAGAGUAG